Molecule: ribosomal RNA, 301 nt
Filed under: uncultured bacterium
Lineage: Bacteria
Description: partial 16S ribosomal RNA
Rfam family: Bacterial small subunit ribosomal RNA
Source: RNAcentral
CAGCAGCCGCGGGAAUACGGAGGGAGCUAGCGUUGUUCGGAAUUACUGGGCGUAAAGCCCGCGUAGGCGGUUACUCAAGUCAGAGGUGAAAGCCCGGGGCUCAACCCCGGAACUGCAUCCGAUACUGCCAUGCUAGAGGACUGGAGAGGCAACUGGAAUUCUCGGUGUAGCGGUGAAAUGCGUAGAGAUCGGGAGGAACAUCAGUGGCGAAGGCGGCCAUCUGGGACAACACUGACGCUGAGGCACGAAAGCGUGGGGAGCAAACAGGAUUAGAGACCCGUGUAGUCCCUGUCUCUUAUAC